AGACCCGAAACCCGGUGAUCUAGCCAUGGGCAGGUUGAAGGUUGGGUAACACUAACUGGAGGACCGAACCGACUAAUGUUGAAAAAUUAGCGGAUGACCUGUGGCUGGGGGUGAAAGGCCAAUCAAACCGGGAGAUAGCUGGUUCUCCCCGAAAGCUAUUUAGGUAGCGCCUCGUGAAUUCAUCUCCGGGGGUAGAGCACUGUUUCGGCUAGGGGGCCAUCCCGGCUUACCAACCCGAUGCAAACUGCGAAUACCGGAGAAUGUUAUCACGGGAGACACACGGCGGGUGCUAACGUCCGUCGUGAAGAGGGAAACAACCCAGACCGCCAGCUAAGGUCCCAAAGUCAUGGUUAAGUGGGAAACGAUGUGGGAAGGCCCAGACAGCCAGGAUGUUGGCUUAGAAGCAGCCAUCAUUUAAAGAAAGCGUAAUAGCUCACUGGUCGAGUCGGCCUGCGCGGAAGAUGUAACGGGGCUAAACCAUGCACCGAAGCUGCGGCAGCGACACUGUGUGUUGUUGGGUAGGGGAGCGUUCUGUAAGCCUGUGAAGGUGUGUCGUGAGGCAUGCUGGAGGUAUCAGAAGUGCGAAUGCUGACAUAAGUAACGAUAAAGCGGGUGAAAAGCCCGCUCGCCGGAAGACCAAGGGUUCCUGUCCAACGUUAAUCGGGGCAGGGUGAGUCGACCCCUAAGGCGAGGCCGAAAGGCGUAGUCGAUGGGAAACGGGUUAAUAUUCCCGUACUUGGUGUUACUGCGAAGGGGGGACGGAGAAGGCUAUGUUGGCCGGGCGACGGUUGUCCCGGUUUAAGCGUGUAGGUGUGUGUUCCAGGUAAAUCCGGUUCACUUUAACACUGAGGCGUGACGACGAGGCACUACGGUGCUGAAGCAACAAAUGCCCUGCUUCCAGGAAAAGCCUCUAAGCAUCAGGUAACAUCAAAUCGUACCCCAAACCGACACAGGUGGUCAGGUAGAGAAUACCAAGGCGCUUGAGAGAACUCGGGUGAAGGAACUAGGCAAAAUGGUGCCGUAACUUCGGGAGAAGGCACGCUGACACGUAGGUGAAGUGAUUUACUCAUGGAGCUGAAGUCAGUCGAAGAUACCAGCUGGCUGCAACUGUUUAUUAAAAACACAGCACUGUGCAAACACGAAAGUGGACGUAUACGGUGUGACGCCUGCCCGGUGCCGGAAGGUUAAUUGAUGGGGUCAGCGCAAGCGAAGCUCCUGAUCGAAGCCCCGGUAAACGGCGGCCGUAACUAUAACGGUCCUAAGGUAGCGAAAUUCCUUGUCGGGUAAGUUCCGACCUGCACGAAUGGCGUAAUGAUGGCCAGGCUGUCUCCACCCGAGACUCAGUGAAAUUGAACUCGCUGUGAAGAUGCAGUGUACCCGCGGCAAGACGGAAAGACCCCGUGAACCUUUACUAUAGCUUGACACUGAACAUUGAGCCUUGAUGUGUAGGAUAGGUGGGAGGCUUUGAAGUGUGGACGCCAGUCUGCAUGGAGCCGACCUUGAAAUACCACCCUUUAAUGUUUGAUGUUCUAACGUGGACCCGUUACCCGGGUUGCGGACAGUGUCUGGUGGGUAGUUUGACUGGGGCGGUCUCCUCCUAAAGAGUAACGGAGGAGCACGAAGGUUGGCUAAUCCUGGUCGGACAUCAGGAGGUUAGUGCAAUGGCAUAAGCCAGCUUGACUGCGAGCGUGACGGCGCGAGCAGGUGCGAAAGCAGGUCAUAGUGAUCCGGUGGUUCUGAAUGGAAGGGCCAUCGCUCAACGGAUAAAAGGUACUCCGGGGAUAACAGGCUGAUACCGCCCAAGAGUUCAUAUCGACGGCGGUGUUUGGCACCUCGAUGUCGGCUCAUCACAUCCUGGGGCUGAAGUAGGUCCCAAGGGUAUGGCUGUUCGCCAUUUAAAGUGGUACGCGAGCUGGGUUUAGAACGUCGUGAGACAGUUCGGUCCCUAUCUGCCGUGGGCGCUGGAGAACUGAGGGGGGCUGCUCCUAGUACGAGAGGACCGGAGUGGACGCAUCACUGGUGUUCGGGUUGUCAUGCCAAUGGCACUGCCCGGUAGCUAAAUGCGGAAGAGAUAAGUGCUGAAAGCAUCUAAGCACGAAACUUGCCCCGAGAUGAGUUCUCCCUGAGACUUAGAGUCUCCUGAAG
RNAcentral lists this ribosomal RNA (2145 nucleotides) under Salmonella enterica subsp. enterica serovar Enteritidis. Its description in RNAcentral is "partial 23S ribosomal RNA". It matches the Rfam family "Bacterial large subunit ribosomal RNA", at positions 711 to 2833 of the family's 2925-position model. The record is from RNAcentral. Lineage: Bacteria; Pseudomonadati; Pseudomonadota; Gammaproteobacteria; Enterobacterales; Enterobacteriaceae.